UUAGGGAUUUUGCACAAUGGCCGAAAGGCUGAUGCAGCAACGCCGCGUGGGGGAAGAAGGUCUUCGGAUCGUAAACCUCUUUUCUGGGGGAAGAUAGUGACGGUACCCUGGGAAUAAGCCCCGGCUAACUACGUGCCAGCAGCCGCGGUAAUACGUAGGGGGCGAGCGUUGUCCGGAUUUAUUGGGCGUAAAGAGCGCGUAGGCGGCUCUUCGAGUCGUGCGUGAAAUACUCCGGCUCAACCGGAGUGAGCCGUGCGAUACUGGAGGGCUUGAGGUCGGAAGGGGGAAGUGGAAUUCCCGGGUGUAGUGGUGGAAUGCGUAGAUAUCGGGAGGAACACCAGUGGCGAAGGCGGCUUUCUGGACCGAUGCUGACGCUGAGGCGCGAAAGCGUGGGAAGCAA
RNAcentral lists this ribosomal RNA (400 nucleotides) under uncultured bacterium. Its description in RNAcentral is "bacterial SSU rRNA". It matches the Rfam family "Bacterial small subunit ribosomal RNA", at positions 355 to 771 of the family's 1533-position model. The record is from RNAcentral.